RNAcentral lists this ribosomal RNA (253 nucleotides) under uncultured bacterium. RNAcentral's name for it is "partial 16S ribosomal RNA". It matches the Rfam family "Bacterial small subunit ribosomal RNA", at positions 524 to 776 of the family's 1533-position model. The record is from RNAcentral.
UACAGAGGGGGCAAGCGUUGUUCGGAAUUACUGGGCGUAAAGGGCGCGUAGGCGGCCUGUUAAGUCGAACGUGAAAUCCCGGGGCUCAACCCCGGAACUGCCUUUGAUACUGCUGGUCUUGAGGUCGAGAGAGGUGAGUGGAAUUCCGAGUGUAGAGGUGAAAUUCGUAGAUAUCGGGAGGAACACCGGUGGCGAAGGCGGCGACCUGGGUCGAUACUGACGCUGAGGCGCGAAAGCGUGGGGAGCAAACAGG